This 218-nucleotide non-coding RNA is filed under the name Sandaracinus amylolyticus. The record is from RNAcentral. Lineage: Bacteria; Pseudomonadati; Myxococcota; Polyangiales; Sandaracinaceae.
AGGGUCCGGCCCGCCAGCGGUGCGAUCGGAGUGACCGAUCGCCCCGAGGGAACCCGGUGAGAAUCCGGGGCUGCCCCGCAGCGGUGUGCAGGAACGACCGUCGCGACGACCACUGCGCGUUCUCCAUCGCGAGGCGCGCGGGAAGGCGCGACCAGUAGGUGGGCCGAUCCCGGCCCGCGCCUGCGAGCCCGAAGACCUGCCGUUGGUGUCGUGCGGUC